Molecule: unclassified non-coding RNA, 282 nt
Filed under: fungal sp.
Lineage: Eukaryota; Fungi
Description: partial internal transcribed spacer region
Rfam family: Eukaryotic small subunit ribosomal RNA (bases 1-46)
Source: RNAcentral
AAGUCGUAACAAGGUUUCCGUAGGUGAACCUGCGGAAGGAUCAUUAAUGAAUUACAAAGUCGAUUGUCUGUGCUGGCAUAACCAAUGCAUGUGCACGUCAAUUGGCAUAUAUCCACACACCUUGUGCACACCUAGACCACAGAAGGGUUCGUUGAGGCUUUGGUCUUGGCUUGAGCAACUCUGUUGGUACUUUUCAUACACUCGCAUGUGAUUGGGAUGUUAUAAGUGCCCUUAGCACUGAUAAAUAAAAAACAACUUUCAACAACGGAUCUCUUGGCUCUC